This 111-nucleotide transfer RNA is filed under the name Candidatus Woesearchaeota archaeon. RNAcentral's name for it is "tRNA-Glu". Lineage: Archaea; Nanobdellati; Candidatus Woesearchaeota. RNAcentral also lists the same sequence under 1 other name. The record is from RNAcentral.
GCCCCCAUGGUGUAGUCCGGUCAAUCAUCCAGCCUUUUCGAGGCUGGGACAUGGGUUCAAAGCAUCUCUCCGCAGGAGCCUGCGGGAAUGGUGAAAGUCCCGUUGGGGGCA